GAUUAAUGAUUUAUUGAUUCAUUCAUGUGCAGUUGUUGUCAUCAGGUACAAUCAGAGCAUGUACAGUGUCUCCUUGAUGCCACCAGGGGGCACCAAAGUCUAACAAGUGUGAAUCUGAAGCUGUUUCCUCGCUGCUCGCAGUUUGUUUAUAUGUGCGCACAUAAAACAGACAGACGCUUCACCAAUCAGAACAAAAUGGACCAAUAAUUAUGUUGAUAUUAAAAAAAUAGUCAUCAUCUCAAUAAUAUCAAUGAUAAAGCAUCAGCAUCAUGACAUUUAAUGUUUCUGUGAUAAAAUGACAUAAAUAAGAUCCACAAGUGCAGCAGAUACAAGUCAGAAUUUAAAAAAUGCACAUCCGUCACGAGAAUUCUUUUUAGUUCGUCUCAGCCAAAAGGAGGCCGAUCAUUUGAAAAGUAAAGCAAAUUAAACUGAGAAAACUGUGGUGAGAGAGUUUUAGUUGUGGCUGUGUUUCAGGCAGAGUAAUUUGGGGGAAAACAUUUUUUGGGACCAUGAGUGAUAAGCGGAGGACGCCAGAGGCCUUUAAAUACCUCAGGAACGUUUUAUUGAUCUGAAGCGCGUUGAUUCCACUAAAGUACUCUCACGCAGGCCAGAGGGGGCUGACGUCACUCCUCAGCUGGGUGACGUCGCUCAGAAUCUGCACAGGAUGAUGCUCCCAGUAGCGCAACCUAUAGCUCAGAUUCACCCUCAGAGGGCGCCAACGAGCCCGGCCAUACUGACAAGUAUGACCGAGACACUGGCAACUGUCCUCACCUGCGAAGCAUACCGGCGUCAUCACGAGCGAAGGGACGCCUUCAGAGUGAUGACAGACAGCCGGGAGUUAAAUAUGCAGAGAGGCGGUGAAAAGGAGCACAAGUCUUGUUUUAUAAGACCUGUUGAGUGUAAACUAAGAUGUGAACGGUUCAGAGGAGCGAAUAACUUCUUACGGGACAUUAGGGAAAAAAUGAUGCAUCUGGAGGAAGAAGGCGACGCGAGAUCUUCCUCCCCUGAAAUUAGAGGCUGCAGCUCUUCUUGCUCUUUGAGGUCAGCCUCCUUCAGUUUCUGCUCCACGUCUUCAGGAAUCUCCACCUCCAUCAGGUUCUCCAUCCCCUGCUCCGGCUCGUCUCCUAUCAGCACCUGGAUGUGAACACAGUUUCCAGGGAAUUAAGUCCACCAAGUGUCUGCCGGCCGGCUUUGGUCGCUGUCAGCUGCACAAGAGACGAAACAGUCAAGAACUCAACAUGAAAACAUCGCUGAGUCUACAUGUGUGUUUGUUUGCAGUGUCGUACCAGGAAAAGUGUUUCCAGCAGCAUCUUUCUGAUGUCAGGGUCCUCUUCUCUCUUCUUGUCCUCUGGGAGGUACUGCAGGUCCACAGGAAGACCUGAACAUCACAUCAACUUAUGUUAGAGUCAGAACUAGUGUUACUCAACAAGAAUCUGAGCAGAACCAAAGACGGUUCCUACUGAAGACAUAAACCUUGAUUAAGUUGUCAAAAAUAUAAAGUUCAUUUAUAACAAACCUCAGUAAUUUUCAGCUGGUUUUUUUGGCAAAUGUUAUAGGAUUGAGCCAAAACUAACUGCAGUGUGUGUGUUUAUGGUACUGAAGUAACAUGUGCAACAGUGUGACUCACGGAUGUGUUUACUGUGUCGUACAUUUACAACAAAAAUGGAGCUUUGAGCAGGAGGAAGAAGAUCAGGGUUCCCUGACAAAUUCAAGGACUGUGUCUAUUUCCAAAAACUUUCAAGGAUCCCUGUAAGAUGCAUCAGGCUACAGAUAAACACAUAAUAUGUUUGUCAGAUGAAUUCUGUUUUUGUUUUGUUUUUUGUCUUUCUAUUGGAUUUUUUGACAAAACAGAAAAAUAAAGAAUCUCAUCAGACUUCUCCAAAAAAUAAACAGGUUUCUAUCAGAAACAAAAACUCA
Acanthopagrus latus (yellowfin seabream) is the source of this 1917-nucleotide long non-coding RNA. RefSeq lists it as uncharacterized. The transcript is spliced from 4 exons. The record is from RefSeq and is a predicted model, not a curated record. NCBI's taxonomy places the organism in Eukaryota, Metazoa, Chordata, Actinopteri, Spariformes, Sparidae.